This 1078-nucleotide long non-coding RNA is filed under the name Ovis aries (sheep). Its description in RNAcentral is "lncRNA (ENSOARG00000026295.1)". The record is from RNAcentral. Lineage: Eukaryota; Metazoa; Chordata; Mammalia; Artiodactyla; Bovidae.
AGUUUUUGGCAGAAAGGGUAACCAAGCCCCCGCUGAUGAGAAUAGUUAAGCCAAGGGACAUGGGGAGGGGGUGAACGUGCUCUGCUCAGUGAGAAUGGUGUGUCUGAAGGCCUGUGGGUAAAUGCCAGGCAAAAGCAUUUGGGUGUUUUUUUUUUUUUCCCCUAAAGAAAUGAUGGGAGCCCCUGAAGGAUUUUAAGGAGGGGAAGGAAGAGGCACAGCUGAAAUCACAGACAGGUGUGCUCAGGACGGAUGCACAGGUAUAAGCUGCCAAGACAAGUCAUCCUCUUGGUUUUGAAAGAAAUGGCUGGGCCCAGCUGGCAGUUGACCAACCAAGCAGUAUUUAUGGAGCCCUUCUGACAUCCAAGGUCUUCCCGUGCAGGGUCAGGGAGGGACACAGAGAGAAAGAAGUGGAGCUGGCAACCCCCGUGGGGCAUCACGAUGCAGUUAAAGUUGCAGGUAUUGUCCCUUGGAUCCAUCAUACGAGGGUGAAGGGAACAUACAACGCAGACCCAAAAAAAGUUGAGUGGACAGCACAGAGGGACCCCGCUGACCCUCGAGAGACUAAGACCUUCCUUAAGAAGAAGGAAAAGAAGAUUCCAGACGAGUCCUUUCAGGAUGAAGCCACACAAUCGACUCCUGCUGCUUGGCCUCAUCAAAGUGAUUUUGAAUUUAACUCCCGUUUCAACUCAGGACAACGUUUUCAUCUCAUGGGGAUCCUAUCAGUCAAAAAGGAAGAAAGACAGGAAUAUAGGCCUGUACAGGAUCUCAGGCUAGUCAACCAGGCUACUGUGACUUUACACCCCACUGUUCCAAACCCCUAUACCUUACUUAGCCUCCUCCCGCCGAGGACUAAAGUUUAUACUCACCUAGAUUUCAAGGAUGCCUUCUGCGUAUGCCUCGCCCCAGCAUCACAUUUGAAUGCGCAGAUCCAGUUGGGGGCACCAAGCAACAGCUCAUCUGGACUCCCCCACAAGGGUUUAAGAACUCCCCAGCCAUCUUUGGGGAAGCCUUGGCUUCUGACCUGAACUCAUUCCAUCCGGAAGAGUAUGGAUGUUGGCUCCUACAAUAUGGGGAUGAC